RNAcentral lists this transfer RNA (135 nucleotides) under Akkermansiaceae bacterium. RNAcentral's name for it is "tRNA-Ser". The record is from RNAcentral. Lineage: Bacteria; Pseudomonadati; Verrucomicrobiota; Verrucomicrobiia; Verrucomicrobiales; Akkermansiaceae.
GGAGGGAAAUCAACCUCUUUCGGGCAACGAAUGGGCAACGCGCUAUGUUUUGCUAUUAUUUACAAUGGCUCGUGACGGUCUUGAAAACCGACGUAGUGAAAGCUACCGUGGGUUCGAAUCCCACCCCCUCUGCCA